GACGAACGCUGGCGGCGUGCUUAACACAUGCAAGUCGAACGGAAAGGCCCUGCUUUUGUGGGGUGCUCGAGUGGCGAACGGGUGAGUAACACGUGAGUAACCUGCCCUUGACUUUGGGAUAACUUCAGGAAACUGGGGCUAAUACCGGAUAGGAGCUCCUGCUGCAUGGUGGGGGUUGGAAAGUUUCGGCGGUUGGGGCUGGACUCGCGGCUUAUCAGCUUGUUGGUGGGGUAGUGGCUUACCAAGGCUUUGACGGGUAGCCGGCCUGAGAGGGUGAACGGCGACAUUGGGACUGAGAUACGGCGCAGACGCCUACGGGAGGCAGCAGUGGGGAAUAUUGCACAAUGGGCGCGAGCCUGAUGCGGCGACGCUGCGUGCGGGAUGACGGCCUUCGGGUUGUAAACCGCUUUCGCCUGAGACGAAGCGUGAGUGACGGUAACGGAUGAAGAAGCACCGGCUAACUACGUG
RNAcentral lists this ribosomal RNA (468 nucleotides) under uncultured bacterium. Its description in RNAcentral is "partial 16S ribosomal RNA". It matches the Rfam family "Bacterial small subunit ribosomal RNA", at positions 28 to 507 of the family's 1533-position model. The record is from RNAcentral.